This 444-nucleotide ribosomal RNA is filed under the name uncultured bacterium. RNAcentral describes it as "bacterial SSU rRNA". It matches the Rfam family "Bacterial small subunit ribosomal RNA", at positions 331 to 792 of the family's 1533-position model. The record is from RNAcentral.
CCAGACUCCUACGGGAGGCAGCAGUGGGGAAUAUUGCACAAUGGGGGAAACCCUGAUGCAGCAACGCCGCGUGAGUGAUGACGGCCUUCGGGUUGUAAAGCUCUGUCUUCAGGGACGAUAAUGACGGUACCUGAGGAGGAAGCCACGGCUAACUACGUGCCAGCAGCCGCGGUAAUACGUAGGUGGCGAGCGUUGUCCGGAUUUACUGGGCGUAAAGGGAGCGUAGGCGGACUUUUAAGUGAGAUGUGAAAUACUCGGGCUCAACUUGAGUGCUGCAUUUCAAACUGGAAGUCUAGAGUGCAGGAGAGGAGAAUGGAAUUCCUAGUGUAGCGGUGAAAUGCGUAGAGAUUAGGAAGAACACCAGUGGCGAAGGCGAUUCUCUGGACUGUAACUGACGCUGAGGCUCGAAAGCGUGGGGAGCAAACAGGAUUAGAUACCCCAGUA